Molecule: ribosomal RNA, 253 nt
Filed under: uncultured bacterium
Lineage: Bacteria
Description: partial 16S ribosomal RNA
Rfam family: Bacterial small subunit ribosomal RNA
Source: RNAcentral
UACGUAGGUGGCAAGCGUUGUCCGGAAUUACUGGGUGUAAAGGGAGCGCAGGCGGGAAGCCAAGUCAGCUGUGAAAACUACGGGCUUAACUUGUAGACUGCAGUUGAAACUGGUUUUCUUGAGUGAAGUAGAGGUUGGCGGAAUUCCUAGUGUAGCGGUGAAAUGCGUAGAUAUUAGGAGGAACACCAGUGGCGAAGGCGGCCUGCUGGACGACAACUGACGCUGAGGCGCGAAAGCGUGGGGAGCAAACAGG